Micropterus dolomieu (smallmouth bass) is the source of this 1044-nucleotide long non-coding RNA. RefSeq lists it as uncharacterized. The record is from RefSeq and is a predicted model, not a curated record. The transcript is spliced from 2 exons. Lineage: Eukaryota; Metazoa; Chordata; Actinopteri; Centrarchiformes; Centrarchidae.
GGGCCUGCUUCAUACAUCGUGGGCUGUAGCUCACCUGUAUCGGUGUGUUUUAGAUGUGUCAGGUGAACAACAAUGAGACUGGAUCUAUUUUUGUCCUACGUGUGCCACAACCCGCACUGAACCCCCAUCAGCUGCAAGACAGCCACUGUUAGCAGCUCCGGCUCAGUCUCAAGGCUACGGGUAACGUUAGAGGUCCUGGUGAUGGAGGAUGGACAUGUUACAGCCAUUAUUGUGUCCUCAUAACCUCAUUUACCUUCAUCCUUUCCCUGCACUGGGACGGGGUCCUCUCAUAUCCGAGCUCCGACAAGGCUCUGGACACCCGCUCGUACAUGGCAGGACCGGGGGCCUUACCGGAGAACACGGUGCCCGCGACCUCCAGCUGCUGCAUCCUCGCCUCCGUCAGCCUCUCGUUGCCCCACACCGCGAUGAGGGCGUUCGUCUCGGAUGGGGUCCACGACAUCCCUCGGCAAGCCGUGAAGCUGUUGGAGGAGGAUGAGGCCGCCGUGCGGCCCGCGGUCCCUGAGCCCACGUUCAAAGGCGAGAAGCGGUUAGGUGUCGAGGGAUUGGAGUGAUAUUGAUUACUGUCACUCAAAUCCUCAGACUCAGGUGAUGGCAACUCGGUUUUCGGUAUCUUUAACGGCGUCGAUAUCUCUGGAGAAUGCUCCGCGUUACUGGACGCCGCCAUGUUGCCUCUGUUGCUAAGGGGAGGGGGAGGGAAGGUGACGUUCGGGGCUUGACGGUGGCAGGGAGAAAAAUACGGCGUGGACACUAGAGUUUCCAAGGUGGAUCCGGGAAUUUGCUUUCAGGUGAGCGUCAGCGGCCAGAGAACAUGAUAUGGAGAGGGCAGAGGAGAGUAACGACAGCUUGUGAGAAGUACUGGUACGCCAAAGAGUAAAAUGUUGAGGUGCCGGUACUGCGUACCGGUGCGUACCAGCCCACUUCAAGCGCUGCUGGAAAGCGAUUUUAAAAUCUUGAUGACUCAUCCUGCACUCAGGGCGUGUAAUUUAACAUCCAAUAAAAAGCUUUCUCAAUUUUUUGACGCUA